AAGGGGCCACGAGCCUGAUCCAGCAAUUCUGUGUGGACGAUGAAGGUUUUCGGAUUGUAAAGUCCUUUCAGUAGGGAAGAAAAAAAUGACGGUACCUACAGAAGAAGCACCGGCUAAUUAUGUGCCAGCAGCCGCGGUAAGACAUAAGGUGCGAGCGUUAUCCGGAAUCACUGGGCGUAAAGGGCAUCUAGGCGGUUUAUUAAGUCAGGGGUGAAAAGCCGAAGCUCAACUUUGGUCUAGCCUUUGAAACUGAUAGACUAGAAUACGGGAUAGGAGGGCGGAACUACAAGUGUAGAGGUGAAAUUCGUAGAUAUUUGUAGGAAUGCCGAUGACGAAGGUAGCUCUCUGGACCGAUAUUGACGCUGAAGUGCGAAAGCUAGGGUAGCAAA
This 389-nucleotide ribosomal RNA is filed under the name uncultured bacterium. Its description in RNAcentral is "bacterial SSU rRNA". It matches the Rfam family "Bacterial small subunit ribosomal RNA", at positions 370 to 772 of the family's 1533-position model. The record is from RNAcentral.